Molecule: ribosomal RNA, 253 nt
Filed under: uncultured bacterium
Lineage: Bacteria
Description: partial 16S ribosomal RNA
Rfam family: Bacterial small subunit ribosomal RNA
Source: RNAcentral
UACAGAGGUCCCGAGCGUUGUUCGGAUUCACUGGGCGUAAAGGGUGCGUAGGUGGUGGGAUAAGUCGGAUGUGAAAUCUCGGAGCUUAACUCCGAAACUGCAUUGGAAACUGUCCUGCUAGAGGGUUGGAGGGGGGACUGGAAUGCUUGGUGUAGCAGUGAAAUGCGUAGAUAUCAAGCGGAACACCAGUGGCGAAGGCGAGUCCCUGGACAACUCCUGACACUGAGGCACGAAAGCUAGGGGAGCAAACAGG